RNAcentral lists this ribosomal RNA (274 nucleotides) under uncultured bacterium. Its description in RNAcentral is "partial 16S ribosomal RNA". It matches the Rfam family "Bacterial small subunit ribosomal RNA", at positions 523 to 796 of the family's 1533-position model. The record is from RNAcentral.
AUACGAAAGGUGCGAGCGUUGUUCGGAUUUACUGGGCGUAAAGCGAGUGUAGGUGGUUUGUUAAGUCGGAUGUGAAAUCCCGGGGCUCAACCUCGGAACUGCAUUCGAUACUGGCAGGCUAGAGUUCGGGAGGGGUAAGCGGAAUUCCGUGUGUAGCAGUGAAAUGCGUAGAUAUACGGAGGAACACCUGAGGCGAAGGCGGCUUACUGGACCGAUACUGACACUGAGACUCGAAAGCGUGGGUAGCAAACAGGAUUAGAAACCCCAGUAGUCC